This 405-nucleotide ribosomal RNA is filed under the name uncultured bacterium. RNAcentral's name for it is "partial 16S ribosomal RNA". It matches the Rfam family "Bacterial small subunit ribosomal RNA", at positions 29 to 526 of the family's 1533-position model. The record is from RNAcentral.
AUUGAACGCUGGCGGCAGGCUUAACACAUGCAAGUCGAGCGAGCGGCGGACGGGUGAGUAAUGUCUGGGAAUCUGCCUGAUGGAGGGGGAUAACUACUGGAAACGGUAGCUACAUACGCAUCCCUUCAGCUGUGCCCAGAUGGGAUUAGCUAGUAGGGGGGGUAAUGGCUCACCUAGGCGCGGAUCCCUAGCUGGUCGGAGAGGAUGACCAGCAACACUGAAACGGGGACAGGGUCCAAGCUCUUACGGGAGGCAGCGGUGGGAAAUAUGGCACAAGGGGCGAAAGCCUGAUGCGGCCAGGCCGCGUGUGGGAAAAAGGCUUUCGGGUGGUAAAGCACUUUCAGCGAGGAGGCGUUACUCGCAGAAGAAGCACCGGCUAACUCCGUGCCAGCAGCCGCGUAAUAC